RNAcentral lists this ribosomal RNA (4261 nucleotides) under Triticum aestivum (bread wheat). RNAcentral describes it as "partial small subunit ribosomal RNA". Lineage: Eukaryota; Viridiplantae; Streptophyta; Magnoliopsida; Poales; Poaceae. The record is from RNAcentral.
AUGACCCGUUGCUCCCUCCUGUUCGUUCUCGGUGGUGAGCCGACGACGGUGCCGGAGCUUUUUUUCUCGGUGACAGCAGCGGCGGAGCUGUCAUUCUCGGCGACGGCGGCGGCUGUGGCAAAGCUAGGUGAUGGUAGCGUGCGAGACAUAGAGAGAGAUACAAUUGUGAAACGGGAGGUUGAAUGUGCAGAGAUUGAUCCUCAGGAAAUACAAAGCAUGGAAGAGAGGGUCGUGAGAAAUGUCGUGGAGAAAAUUGGGGAGAGCAUUUUUGGGGGUCCAGAGCAGGAGGUAGCAUUGUUACGGUUUGAUAAUUGGAAGGGUGAGUAUGUGAGAAUUGAGAAUGGUGAAGAGAUGGUUAAUGAAAUCGAUCGGCAAGACGGCUGGGCAAGCAAACAGACUACCUUUCAUGCAGAGCUCGUUGAUCUGAAAUCAGAUUCUAAGGUUGGAUAUGUGCCCUCAAAGUUGGCUUCACAGAUGGUAGAUGAUGAUUGGGCCUCACAGAGACAGAUAACGCCCAUGUUUACGGGUGAAGUGACAGUAAUAGGGGGUGUUGAUCAAGAUGUAGAAGAGGGUUGUGAUGGUGCUGCAAGGGUUGUUUGUGUUGAUUGGAAUUCAGUACUAUUAGAAGACACUACUGAUCUGGUCAUUGCACCAAUGGCUGACACUGAGAUGGCCAAAAAAUUUGGCAUUCCAGUAGAUCCAGUAGAUGAUCAAGAUGAGGAAGAGAGGGGUGAAUCUAGUUUGCCUAAUGAUGCUAGCAGAGAUGCUUGUGAAGAUGUGGAUGGACAGCUGAUGAAAGAUGUUGCAGAUGAUGUAGAUGAUGCACAUGAAGAUGAGCUUUCAAACAUGAGUUUGAUGCCAAGACUAUGUGGACUGACAGAAAGAAAUUUUAUGCAAGGUGCAGAGGUUUCGAUGGAAGCGUCAGGCCUUGCAAGUGGUACAUAUCUGCUAAAAUUCAACAUGAUGGAAGUACCAUUAGGAAGACCGGAGAUAGCACUGUCGCGCCACGUGCCCUCGUCCGCGUGCUGCUGUGACCUGGCUGGCCUCGCGCCCUCGCCUAACCAAGGAAGGAAAUGGCUCCGUCACCGUUACAUGGAGAGAAGGGCGAAGAGCAAGGUCGCAUGCGUGGCCUGCAACUGCUCAUCCGCAGCAGCCGAACUCGCCCGACCACAGCCAGCUCCUGCUCCACUCGGUCCCGCGCCGCUUAGCUGCGCUCAAGAUCAACCGCUUCCUCUCCGUUUCGACGACGCAAAACCAGCAGCCCAAUCCUCGCCGGCACCAAGGGGAACCACGGCAUGCACGCACACCAGGAUGCCAAGAAGACCCGCCCUCGCCGUCAACGCGUUGCGCACGCUGGAUGUCGUAGCAGAAGGAGCGGCGCACAAGAUCCUGAAGCACUUCCGUCGCUUCCUGGCGCGAGCCGCGGAGCGCACGACAGUGACGCCGUUGUGUCUCCUCCUUGCUCAUCGCCAGUGGCGAGACGUCCUUAAAGCUUGGGCUUCCCACAGCCUGGUGCACUUCCGCCACAGUCCCUCACCCCCGCACACACCCGCCUCCUUAUUCAUCUUCCUCCGUGCACCACCUCCUUCACAGGCGGACGCCCUGCGAGGCGGCAAACGGAGUGAAAGCGAGAGACGAUGGCCACGGAGAAGAGAAAGGAGAGCUUUUUAUAGAUGCUGGCGGUGGAGGAUUCGACCGAAGUCUUCCGGAACCACCACGAUCAUCGAGAGCGGAGACAUCGAGAAGAAGAGAUAUGGAAGAAGGAAACGAUGGGAAGAUGAACAAAUCGAAUAUAAGCCCAUGGCCAAGGAAGGAUUGGAAGGGAUUAAGAUUUGUCGAAGAUCAUCGGUUAUUUCACGCCUACUUUUCACGGAUGAGUAUUUGUUAUUUUUCCGUGCUUCCUUACAGCAGGCAAUGUUGCGGGCCAACCGUGCCGGCCUGAUGUGUAAAGGGGCGUGUCUGGGCCUGGGGGGGGAGGGGGGGGAGGCCCGGCCCGUCACGGCACGUUUGGCCAGGUUUGGACUAGUACAGUCCACCGUGGGUAGGCACCGCUUCCUAUCCACUCCGCUUCGCCCUCCUCUCGCCAGAACAGAUCUGGUCGGCGGCGAUGGCGCCGCCCAAACCCUAGCCCACUUCCUUCGGCUCCACCGUCUCCAUCCUUCUCCUCCGCCUCCCACGCACCCGCGCAACCAUCGCUCGAGCCCAGAAUGGAUGAUAGAGCAACUGAGCUGCGAGCCCUGCAGCAUGUGUUCUGUGAUGCAAUAUAAAAUUGGUCAUGGCAGGUCUGGAUCUGUUUACAUGGGAUUUCUGCGAGCUGCUAGCGGUUCCGGCGGAAGAAGAAGAAGAAGAACCAAGGUUGCGGUCAAGGAGCUUUCUAAUCUGCAUGUUUUGCCUGAUGACAAAUUCCUCGAGUGCUUAAAGAAGGCAAACCACAAGAACAUCGUAAGACUUCUAGGCUAUUGCACAGUAACACAACAAGAGCUGCUUCAGUUCUACCGAGUGAACAAGGGCCAUAAAAUGCUGCUCUGCUUUGAAUAUGUUCCUAAUGGUAACAUUCUGCAUUAUCUCGAAGAAGAGAAUCAUGAAGACGAUUGGCCUGCACGCUACCAAAUGAUCAGAGGAACUUGUGACGGAUUGCACUAUCUUCAUGACAAAAGAAUUAGCCACCUUGACCUGAAACCUGAAAAUGUUAUGUUGGAUGCUCAGAUGGAACCAAAAAUUACAGAUUUUUGUUUGUCAAGAUUAGUAGAUCAGGGACAAUCCGAAAUGUCCACUCAUCACAUACCUGGAAAACUGCAAUCUCCUGGGCCAGAUAUUGUAUUUGAAGAACAAAGAUCAUUCAAGUCAGACACAUAUGCUCUGGGAAUUAUUAUCAUAAAACUGUUAACUGGGAACAGUAUGUCAAGUCUUGAGAAUUGGGAUGGAUUCAUAGAUGUGGAUUGCCCACGGGCGAGGAUGUGCGCCGCAAUAGCUCUAAGAUGCACGGACGCUGAGGAAUAUAAUAGGCCUACCUUACAUGAAAUAAUUUGUGAACUGAACAAGGUGGAGAGCAUGGUUUCACAGUUUCCCAUAAACCAGCUGCUGCACCCUGUCGGCACUAGUUUUGCAGUACUGGUAGCUUAUGCAUUGUUGCUUAUGAUCAGUACAAACUACAUCCAAAUAGCUGUGAUCCCGGCUAUCAUACUCGUUUUCAUCGGUGUUUUGUGGGGCAAUUUCUGGGUCAAGGGAAGACUUCAGCAUAGAAACAACAAUGGAACUGCUGCUAACCAGGGGAGUGGCAGCGGGCAAGCUUGGAGGAUGCUGCUACCCACGGUACUACUGUCGUAUUGUUUGCAGCUAAUCCAGCUUGCCUGUGCACAAGUGACCAAUGGACAACAAAGUGACAAUUUCCUCUUCUCUCACUCCCUCCUCUUCCUGAGUUCCGCGCUUGGUGCACUGGCCGUGAUGAUUGCCGCGCUGCCCAUCAGAGCCAAUCAAUGUGUGGCGCAGGGACAGCAGCUUAUUCACAGGAUCUUCAUUGUGGUUUUUAUGAUAGCAGUGCACAUGAUGGCUACAGAAUGGAUGAUGGUGGAGGUCAUGCCACUGGUUUGCAUGCCGGAGUUUAUUGCAUCACUUGUGUGGCUCACCACUGGUAAUUUUGAUCACGCCAGAUGUAUGGUGCUCAUCGACAAGGUAACAUCACGCAGAUCAACAGUCACCUUUCUCACUGCAGCAGUGGCUCUGUUAGCGUUCAUGUUUGCAUUUGAGAACGAGAUGGUACUUGCUAGUUACUGGUACAGAGGAAUCAUGUACUCCUGUACCUUGUCAGGGCUUCUAUCCUGCUUGUGCGUGUGGAUGAUCCUUCAGUGGCGGCCGGAUAUCUCUGCUAAUGUGCCCCUUGACUGGCCGAGCGGUAGUGCGAUCAUUUCCAUAAGGAUCCUUGAGUUCUCGGCACUGAUUUGCUUUGCUAUGUCAGCUGUGCUUCUCUUCAUUGGGUUCCUCUUGAAUUACUCAAUUCUGUAGAUCUAAGUUUGCUAUGUAAGCAUGCAUGGCUACCUUGUAUGGCGGCCUCGGGACAAAGAUUGACCAUAACUGUAGUGUUUUGCAAUGUAUCUUCUAAUAUUUUUAUAACUACUAUUGUAGUGUGGUUACUGAUCUGGAUUGUUGAUUAUAGAUAGGAGGCUACCUUUGAAUCUCAUUACCAGAAGGGAAUGCAAACAUUUAUGCUUGUUAUCAACGAGAACAUCAGAAUAUUUCGUAUAUGAAAGGUGAUUGAAGAUGC